Argiope bruennichi is the source of this 231-nucleotide long non-coding RNA. RefSeq lists it as uncharacterized. The transcript is spliced from 3 exons. The record is from RefSeq and is a predicted model, not a curated record. NCBI's taxonomy places the organism in Eukaryota, Metazoa, Arthropoda, Arachnida, Araneae, Araneidae.
GGUGCAAAAAGGAGUCACAGUGGUACAGUUAUCCCGGGACCAAGUGAAGUGACGCAAAGUAAAGUGCAAGUAAAAUAAAAAAACUUAUUGUGUCUUUCCAGAACACGUUUGGCCAAAGAAUGAAUAGACCCUUCACAUUUACAGAGAAAAAAGGAUGUGGAUUGAAAAGAAGAAAGAAUUUCCAAGAAAGAGAGACGUUGCGAAAUGAGCCAGUAGUUGACAUUUUUCGAA